This 465-nucleotide ribosomal RNA is filed under the name Vreelandella stevensii. RNAcentral describes it as "partial 16S ribosomal RNA". It matches the Rfam family "Bacterial small subunit ribosomal RNA", at positions 338 to 795 of the family's 1533-position model. Lineage: Bacteria; Pseudomonadati; Pseudomonadota; Gammaproteobacteria; Oceanospirillales; Halomonadaceae. The record is from RNAcentral.
CCUACGGACAGCAGCAGUGGGGAAUAUUGGACAAUGGGCGAAAGCCUGAUCCAGCCAUGCCGCGUGUGUGAAGAAGGCCUUCGGGUUGUAAAGCACUUUCAGUGGGGAAGAAAGCCUUGGGGCUAAUACCCUCGAGGAAGGACAUCACCCACAGAAGAAGCACCGGCUAACUCCGUGCCAGCAGCCGCGGUAAUACGGAGGGUGCGAGCGUUAAUCGGAAUUACUGGGCGUAAAGCGCGCGUAGGCGGUCUGAUAAGCCGGUUGUGAAAGCCCCGGGCUCAACCUGGGAACGGCAUCCGGAACUGUCAGGCUAGAGUGCAGGAGAGGAAGGUAGAAUUCCCGGUGUAGCGGUGAAAUGCGUAGAGAUCGGGAGGAAUACCAGUGGCGAAGGCGGCCUUCUGGACUGACACUGACGCUGAGGUGCGAAAGCGUGGGUAGCAAACAGGAUUAGAUACCCUGGUAGUC